CAGCCGCCGCGGUAAUACCGGCGGCCCGAGUGGCGGUCACUAUUAUUGGGCUUAAAGCGUCCGUAGCCGGGGUGGGAAGUCCUCCGGGAAAUCUGGCCGCUUAACGGUCAGAAUGCCGGAGGAUACUCCCAGCCUAGGGAGCGGGAGAGGCCGAGGGGAUUCCCGGAGUAGGGGUGGAAUCCUAUAAUCCCGGGAGGACCACCUGUGGCGAAGGCGCUCGGCUGGAACGCGUCCGACGGUGAGGGACGAAGGCCAGGGGAGCAAACCGGAUUAGAUACCCGGGUAGUCCUGGCUGUAAACGAUGCGGACUUUGUGUCGGACAAGCUAUGAGCUUGUCCGGUGCCGGAGGGAAACCGUUAAGUCCGCCGCCUGGGGAGUACGGCCGCAAGGCUGAAACUUAAAGGAAUUGGCGGG
Molecule: ribosomal RNA, 414 nt
Filed under: uncultured microorganism
Description: bacterial SSU rRNA
Rfam family: Archaeal small subunit ribosomal RNA
Source: RNAcentral